This 2966-nucleotide long non-coding RNA is filed under the name Homo sapiens (human). RNAcentral describes it as "HSALNT0173196". The record is from RNAcentral. Lineage: Eukaryota; Metazoa; Chordata; Mammalia; Primates; Hominidae.
GUUAAUUUGCAAUAAUCUUGGCUGACCUUUCCUUUCUUUGUUACCACAGAACAGGAGGUCUUGGCGUUGAAUACUGUGUUGUGAGUGAAAUCAGCCAGUUGGCACUAAAAAAUUUAAACAUGAUCCGUCCUUUGCAUAUUACAGUGGGCCAAUGGGAAGAAAGCCAAUGUGACAGUGUCUGGAGUGCCUUGGCCAGGACCCAAAGCCUAUCUGGCUUUGAAAUAUAGAUUUGAAAUGCUCCGAUUAGAUUGGGCAGGAAACAGUGAUGAUCAUUAUUUCUUGGGUGGAAGACCACAUGCUCUCUCUAUUCAUAUGCUGGCUCCUCUUACUGAAAUUCAUAUCAAAAAAUGUGUCUGUAAAGAUUAAAGGCAUAAGUUGAGCUAAUGUUCUUAUCUUAAUUAAGUACAUUUCUUAAACAUAGGAAUGAGAUGCUGAAUCAAAUGGAUUGCAACACCUAUAUUAAUGGUUUUAAGCUAUGUGUUUAGCAGGCACUAAACAGGCAAGACAAAAUUUCCAAUUUUUAAUUAUCUGAACAUUUUUGUAAUUGUCUAAUCCCAUGGGUCUGUUGCAAUUGCCAGGAUUACCCCAAAGCCAUGGAGUCUGCAACAUGCAGCAUCUUCUUACCAUUCAUGGCCACAGGGCUUGGAGCCACUGUCUGUUGGACUUACUUCACCCAUACUGGUAUGACUGAUGGGGGCUGAGUUCAAGAUCAGGCAAGAGAAAAACACGUAGAGGAAGUAAUCUCACCGUCCUGGGAACGGCCUGCCACCAUCUUAAGAGCUCUAAGAACAAAGACCUGCCAGUAACAUUGUAAUUGAUAUAAAUUGAUUUAGGUCUGCCGUUUCACAUUUAAUUUUCUAUAUGCUUCCUAUCUGUUUAUCUCUUUUCCUCUUUUACUGCUUUAUUUGUAUUAAUAUUUCUAAUGUAUUAAAAUUUUUUGUGUUACAUUUGAGGUUUUUUGAAUGCUUCCCAUUGUGCUUAUCAUAUACUUCUUAGCUUACUGGAAUCUACCUCAGAUUUAUACUAAAUAUUAAAAGAUGUAGAAAUGUUACUCCUGUAGAGCUCUAUUGUCUCUUACCUCCUUUUUUGGCAAUUAUUGUCAUACAUACUCAAUAAUACAUUGUUGUGCAUAUUACUGUAUAUAAUUUUAUGUCAUUUAAAUAAAUUGAUGAGAUAAAGCAUGUUUAAAUAGUGUAGUUUUUGCUUUAUUAUUAAUUGGCACAUAAUAAUUAGACUUCAUGGGGUACAGUGUGACAUUUCAAUACUGGUAUAUUUAUACAGUGUGUAGUGAUCAAAUCAGGAUAAUUAGCAUACCCAUCACCUCGAACAUUUAUCAUUUCUUUGUGUUAGAAAUAUUCUAAAUCUGUACUUCUAGCUAUUUGAAAUACACAAAAGGUUAUUGUUAGUUAUAUUCACCCUAUAGUGCUAUAGAACACCUAGAAUGUAAUCUUCCUAUCUAGCUGUACUUUUUGUUUAACCAACCUUUGCUAUCCCCCUAUAGUGUUUUGUAUUGACCUUUGUUAUUAUUAUUUCUGCUCCUUUAUUCACUUCAUCACAUCAGGUAGAAAUCUUCAGUUAGGUAAUAUUUUAUACAUAAUAUGAAAAGAAAAGAAUGAAUAUACUUUAGGAGAACGUGAAGGCAACAGGACAAGGUGGCAGAAAGAUGCCAAGUAGACUUGGAGGAGCUCCAGCAAACAGGUGGCACUAAAGCACAUCAGCCCUCAUGAAGAGGUUUUCAAUUUAUUCUACAGUUGCUACUCUUGCAUCCAAAAUAGUACCUAUGGUGGUGCAACAUUUUUGUAUUCUAGUAAAAAUUUUUCUUUAAAGAUGUAUGAGGACACAUAAAACGAUAAAUAUUUGAGGGGGUGUGCAUCCUAAAUACCCUGAAUUAUUACACACUGCAUGUAUGUAUCAAAAUAUCACAUGUACUCCAUAAAUAUGUUUAAUUAUUAUAUAUCAACUUUAAAAAAUUAAAAUAGCAGCGAAGCAUUAGGACACUAGCAGAGGAAAUACUAAACUGACCCACGAAGAAACUUUCACAGCUAAGGGCCCAUGUGUGGACACACAGAAAACAAUUACUGCUGAACAUGUAACAAAAAAUUACCUACAGAUUAGGAAUAUACAUGCCUCUAGUAGAGAGUACACAAAAGCCACAAAUGAGAAGCUACAACGUGGAACUCAUAGUUAACAAGGAAAUCUGCAAAGGACUUCAGAGAACUAUGUUAAACUGUUAAGAGAGAGAAAUAGAGGAAUUAAGCUUGCAAUGCAAGAAUGCAAUAAAACAGUUUGAAGAAAAAAAACAGUCAAAGGGAGUGGGAUAGAGAAGAAAGGUGUGCAAAGAAAUUUUUAAAAAAUGGUAAAGCUAAAACCACUACCUACUAUUUAGUGUGUGUGUGUGUGUGUGUAUAUAUAUAUAUAUAUAUAUAAAAUUUAGUGUGUAUGAAUAUAUAUAUAAUCUGCUAUAAACAGAAUAUAUGCAUAUACAUUUUAUCUGCUAUAUACUGUUUAUAUAUAGCAGAUAUAAUUUCAGAUAGAUAGUAUUUCAAAUUUAUCUGCAGAACUCCUCUCUAGAGACAUGGCCGUGAGUAAAUUCAGGGAGUCAUAGCACAGCCUUGGAGCCUGUUCCUGUCUGGAUUGGACCUCCAUUGACCGACUAUUACAAUAAAAGCCACAGUAAAAUCCAGUAGCCUCUGGAAACCACUGAAGCAGAAGGUAUUCUAGCACCAGCAAAGGAAACAGGAAACUUGUUAGAUCCAGACACUAUAUUCCAGAUAUAGACUCCCCCAGUUUUCCCAAGGGCUUCUUAAACAUUUCUUAUAAACACUGUUUUUGUUAGAAGCACCAAAUGUAUCAUAGACUGGAUUUAUUUUCUCCUCUUUUCAUUUACUGAUUGACCUACCUCUCUGAGAUUCUCAUUUAGCAAUGGCUUUGCUUGUGAAUGGGGCAGGUCUUUACCUAAAUCAAAU